AGCAGCCGCGGUAAUUCCAGCUCCAAUAGCGUAUAUUAAAGUUGUUGUAGUUAAAAAGCUCGUAGUUGAAUUUCGGGGUCAGUAGGUUGGUCAUGCCACUGGUAUGUACUGGUCUCACUGAUUCCUCCUUCCUGAUGAGCCGUAAUGCCAUUAAUUUGGUGUUGCGAGGAAUCUGGACUGUUACUUUGAAAAAAUUAGAGUGUUUAAAGCAGGCUAACGCUUGAAUACAUUAGCAUGGAAUAAUGAAAUAGGACGUUCGAUCCUAUUUUGUUGGUUUCUAGGGUUGACGUAAUGAUUAAUAGGGAUAGUUGGGGGCAUUAGUAUUCAAUUGUCAGAGGUGAAAUUCUUGGAUUUAUUGAAGACUAACUACUGCGAAAGCAUUUGCCAAGGAUGUUUUCAUUAAUCAAGAACGAAAGUUAGGGGGAUCGAAGACGAUCAGAUACCGUCGUAGUCUUAACCAUAAACUAUGCCGACUAGGGAUCGGAUGAUGUUAAUUUUUUAAUGUAACUCA
This 511-nucleotide ribosomal RNA is filed under the name uncultured Glomeraceae. Its description in RNAcentral is "SSU rRNA". It matches the Rfam family "Eukaryotic small subunit ribosomal RNA", at positions 569 to 1078 of the family's 1831-position model. Lineage: Eukaryota; Fungi; Glomeromycota; Glomeromycetes; Glomerales; Glomeraceae. The record is from RNAcentral.